Molecule: ribosomal RNA, 424 nt
Filed under: uncultured prokaryote
Description: bacterial SSU rRNA
Rfam family: Bacterial small subunit ribosomal RNA
Source: RNAcentral
UGGGGAAUUUUCCGCAAUGGGCGCAAGCCUGAUCCAGCCAUGCCGCGUGAGUGACGAAGGCCCUAGGGUUGUAAAGCUCUUUCAGUGGUGACGAUGAUGACGGUAGCCACAGAAGAAGCCCCGGCUAACUCCGUGCCAGCAGCCGCGGUAAUACGGAGGGGGCAAGCGUUGUUCGGAAUUACUGGGCGUAAAGGGCGCGUAGGCGGUCUGUUGCGUCAGGUGUGAAAGCCCCGGGCUCAACCUGGGAGGUGCACUUGAUACGGGCGGACUGGAAUCCGGGAGAGGAUGGUGGAAUUCCCAGUGUAGAGGUGAAAUUCGUAGAUAUUGGGAAGAACACCGAUGGCGAAAGCGCUCUGCUAGGCCGUAACUGACACUGAGGGACGAAAGCUAAGGGAGCGAAUGGGAUUAGAUACCCCCGUAGUCC